This 493-nucleotide ribosomal RNA is filed under the name uncultured bacterium. Its description in RNAcentral is "partial 16S ribosomal RNA". It matches the Rfam family "Bacterial small subunit ribosomal RNA", at positions 28 to 507 of the family's 1533-position model. The record is from RNAcentral.
GACGAACGCUGGCGGCGCGCUUAACACAUGCAAGUCGAACGGAAAGGCCUGCUUUCCCUUGUGGAUUGCGGGUACUCGAGUGGCGAACGGGUGAGUAACACGUGAGUGAUCUGCCCCCAACUUGGGUAUAAGCCUGGGAAACUGGGUCUAAUUCCCGAUAGGACUGCAGGGUGUGCCUGUGGUGGAAAACGAUUUUCUAGUGGUUGGGGAUGAGCUCGCGGCCUAUCAGCUUGUUGGUGGGGUAAUGGCCUACCAAGGCGGCGACGGGUAGCCGGCCUGAGAGGGUGGACGGCCUCAUUGGGACUGAGAUACGGCCCAGACUCCUACGGGAGGCAGCAGUGGGGAAUAUUGCACAAUGGGCGGAAGCCUGAUGCAGCGACGCCGCGUGGGGGAUGACGGCCUUCGGGUUGUAAACUCCUUUCGACCGCGAGGAAGCCACCUGGUUGGAAGGGUGGUGACGGUAGUGGUAGAAGAAGCACCGGCUAACUACGUG